CUACGUGCCAGCAGCCGCGGUAAUACGGAAGGUCCAGGCGUUAUCCGGAUUUAUUGGGUUUAAAGGGAGCGUAGGCUGGAGAUUAAGUGUGUUGUGAAAUGUAGACGCUCAACGUCUGACUUGCAGCGCAUACUGGUUUCCUUGAGUACGCACAACGUUGGCGGAAUUCGUCGUGUAGCGGUGAAAUGCUUAGAUAUGACGAAGAACUCCGAUUGCGAAGGCAGCUGACGGGAGCGCAACUGACGCUGAAGCUCGAAGGUGCGGGUAUCGAACAGGAUUAGAUACCCUGGUAGUCCGCACAGUAAACGAUGGAUGCCCGCUGUUGGUACGUGGUAUCAGCGGCUAAGCGAAAGCAUUAAGCAUCCCACCUGGGGAGUACGCCGGCAACGGUGAAACUCAAAGGAAUUGACGGGGGCCCGCACAAGCGGAGGAACAUGUGGUUUAAUUCGAUGAUACGCGAGGAACCUUACCCGGGCUUGAAUUGCAGAGGAAGGAUUUAGAGAUA
Molecule: ribosomal RNA, 505 nt
Filed under: uncultured bacterium
Lineage: Bacteria
Description: bacterial SSU rRNA
Rfam family: Bacterial small subunit ribosomal RNA
Source: RNAcentral